This 577-nucleotide ribosomal RNA is filed under the name uncultured bacterium. RNAcentral describes it as "partial 16S ribosomal RNA". It matches the Rfam family "Bacterial small subunit ribosomal RNA", at positions 355 to 925 of the family's 1533-position model. The record is from RNAcentral.
UGGGGAAUUUUGGACAAUGGGCGCAAGCCUGAUCCAGCCAUGCCGCGUGCGGGAAGAAGGCCUUCGGGUUGUAAACCGCUUUUGUCAGGGAAGAAAUCUUCUGAGUUAAUACCUCGGGAGGAUGACGGUACCUGAAGAAUAAGCACCGGCUAACUACGUGCCAGCAGCCGCGGUAAUACGUAGGGUGCAAGCGUUAAUCGGAAUUACUGGGCGUAAAGCGUGCGCAGGCGGUUUUGUAAGACAGAGGUGAAAUCCCCGGGCUCAACCUGGGAACUGCCUUUGUGACUGCAAGGCUUGAGUGCGGCAGAGGGGGAUGGAAUUCCGCGUGUAGCAGUGAAAUGCGUAGAUAUGCGGAGGAACACCGAUGGCGAAGGCAAUCCCCUGGGCCUGCACUGACGCUCAUGCACGAAAGCGUGGGGAGCAAACAGGAUUAGAUACCCUGGUAGUCCACGCCCUAAACGAUGUCAACUGGUUGUUGGGAAGGUUCCUUCUCAGUAACGUAGCUAACGCGUGAAGUUGACCGCCUGGGGAGUACGGCCGCAAGGUUGAAACUCAAAUGAAUUGACGGGGUCAUAGC